Molecule: long non-coding RNA, 460 nt
Organism: Temnothorax curvispinosus
Lineage: Eukaryota; Metazoa; Arthropoda; Insecta; Hymenoptera; Formicidae
Exons: 3
Source: RefSeq, a predicted model, not a curated record
CAACUAUAUGGUAUACACUUUUGCCGCUAUAUAUUGACCGCAGGGAGCUGAUACCGAAGAGAUCUUUAAGAAGAAAGGUGUAUCCAAAAUUGCACAUGGGACUUGUGGAUUAUGCGAAGCAAUUGAUACUGUUAAGGUUCAUUGGUCAUAUGAAGUUUGCACACGUCAAGCUUGACAUCCUAAAGACAUCCUACACAAUGCAUUCUGAAAACGAUACCGUGCAGAUUCGUUGGCGUAUACGUGGUGUCAACACAGGCUGGAAGGUAUUUUCUGUGUUUUGGAAGUAAAAUUUGGAAAAUACAACAUGCCAUAAUAAGCGCUAACCAGGAAAUAUGGUACGAUGGCUUUUUUAUUUUUUACGUUAAUGCUGAAUGGAAAAGUCUAUAAGCAUAUUGCGGACAAAAUGAUGCCCUAAUCUGGAUACAGCCACGAAAAAGAAAGAUAUGCGCAUGGCAGGGAA